AAGACCUUGCACUUUUGGAGCGGCCGAUGUCUGAUUAGCUAGUUGGUGGGGUAAUGGCCUACCAAAGCUUCGAUCAGUAGCUGGUCUGAGAGGACGGCCAGCCACACUGGGACUGAGACACGGCCCAGACUCCUACGGGAGGCAGCAGUGGGGAAUUUUGGACAAUGGGGGAAACCCUGAUCCAGCCAUGCCGCGUGAGUGAAGAAGGCCUUCGGGUUGUAAAGCUCUUUCAGCCGGGAAGAAAAGGUUGCGACUAAUAAUCGCAAUUCAUGACGGUACCGAAAGAAGAAGCACCGGCUAACUACGUGCCAGCAGCCGCGGUAAUACGUAGGGUGCGAGCGUUAAUCGGAAUUACUGGGCGUAAAGGGUGCGCAGGCGGUUUUGUAAGUCAGAUGUGAAAUCCCCGGGCUUAACCUGGGAACU
Molecule: ribosomal RNA, 423 nt
Filed under: uncultured bacterium
Lineage: Bacteria
Description: bacterial SSU rRNA
Rfam family: Bacterial small subunit ribosomal RNA
Source: RNAcentral